Cavia porcellus (domestic guinea pig) is the source of this 578-nucleotide long non-coding RNA. RefSeq lists it as uncharacterized. The transcript has 4 exons. Lineage: Eukaryota; Metazoa; Chordata; Mammalia; Rodentia; Caviidae. The record is from RefSeq and is a predicted model, not a curated record.
CAAGCUUACAGUGAAGCUUUGCUGGAAAAGAGAGGAGAAUGAGAAAGAUGGGAGGCCUGGAAGCGGGAUCUAGGUACACUGGACCAGGAGUUGUACCAGGGGCCUGAAGACAAUUCUCUAAGUGAUAGAAAACCAGCCAGCGGGUUGGGCCCAAGACACAGUUUGCUGAUCCUGACUGUCAGGAGAGGAACGAUGUGCCGAGAAGUGAGUUUUGGCCUUCCUGUGGCAGAAACAUUAUUUAUAAAAUCCUACAGUGCCAACGAGACCCUGAAUGAAGUGACUGCUUGAAAGUAGCCCUGGUGCUGAUGUUGGGAAAGCUGGUUGCUAUGUUUGGAAGACAUCAGUGGUCAAGUCCAUGGGAAGAUCUGAGUUUUUGGCUACUACCAAGCAGAAACUGAGACUUCAUGUGUUAGCUACGAUGGGGACCCUCUUCCUUUUCAGCUUUCACUGGACAUUCUAUGAUUCUAAAGUGGAUAGGCUAAGGCCCUAUCCAAUGGCAUAGCUGCAACAUCCUAAGAGAUAUUGAAACAGAACCUUCCAGCUAAGAUACUCCCAAUUCCUGGUUAAUAAAAACUAUA